Molecule: long non-coding RNA, 243 nt
Filed under: Gossypium barbadense (sea-island cotton)
Lineage: Eukaryota; Viridiplantae; Streptophyta; Magnoliopsida; Malvales; Malvaceae
Description: long non-coding RNA (GBAR_LNC022316)
Source: RNAcentral
CAGUAUAUUAUGCGUAUUAUAGAUAUUUGUACUCUUUUUCCUUCACUAGGAAUUUUUUUCCCACAGAGUUUUUGUCUUAGUAAAGCUUUAACGAGACAAAUUAUCUACCAAUGGACAUCCAAUAGGGAGUGUUAUGAAUAUCUUAUUAAGUGGAUGUCUAUGAAGAUUAAGAUAAGUUUUGAUGUAUUUUAAAUUCUAAUAGUUAUUAGAAGUAGAUCUCUACUUCAUUUAUACUUCCUAUGC